UAGGGAAUCUUCCACAAUGGACGCAAGUCUGAUGGAGCAACGCCGCGUGAGUGAAGAAGGGUUUCGGCUCGUAAAGCUCUGUUGUUAAAGAAGAACGUGGGUAAGAGUAACUGUUUACCCAGUGACGGCAUUUAACCAGAAAGCCACGGCUAACUACGUGCCAA
Molecule: ribosomal RNA, 164 nt
Filed under: uncultured bacterium
Lineage: Bacteria
Description: partial 16S ribosomal RNA
Rfam family: Bacterial small subunit ribosomal RNA
Source: RNAcentral